RNAcentral lists this ribosomal RNA (384 nucleotides) under uncultured bacterium. RNAcentral's name for it is "bacterial SSU rRNA". It matches the Rfam family "Bacterial small subunit ribosomal RNA", at positions 30 to 412 of the family's 1533-position model. The record is from RNAcentral.
AUUGAACGCUGGCGGCAUGCCUUACACAUGCAAGUCGAACGGCAGCACGAGUGCUUGCACUUGGUGGCGAGUGGCGAACGGGUGAGUAAUACAUCGGAACGUGUCCUAAAGUGGGGGAUAACGCAUCGAAAGAUGUGCUAAUACCGCAUAAUCUCUAAGGAGAAAAGUAGGGGAUCGAAAGACCUUAUGCUUUUGGAGCGGCCGAUGUCUGAUUAGCUAGUUGGUGGGGUAAUGGCCUACCAAGGCGACGAUCAGUAGCUGGUCUGAGAGGAUGGCCAGCCACACUGGGACUGAGACACGGCCCAGACUCCUACGGGAGGCAGCAGUGGGGAAUUUUGGACAAUGGGGGCAACCCUGAUCCAGCCAUGCCGCGUGAGUGAAGAA